Molecule: ribosomal RNA, 376 nt
Filed under: uncultured bacterium
Lineage: Bacteria
Description: bacterial SSU rRNA
Rfam family: Bacterial small subunit ribosomal RNA
Source: RNAcentral
AUACGUAGGGGGCAAGCGUUAUCCGGAUUUACUGGGUGUAAAGGGAGCGCAGGCGGUCUGUCAAGUCGGAUGUGAAAUCCCCGGGCUCAACCUGGGAACUGCAUUCGAAACUGGCAGGCUAGAGUCUUGUAGAGGGGGGUAGAAUUCCAGGUGUAGCGGUGAAAUGCGUAGAGAUCUGGAGGAAUACCGGUGGCGAAGGCGGCCCCCUGGACAAAGACUGACGCUCAGGUGCGAAAGCGUGGGGAGCAAACAGGAUUAGAUACCCUGGUAGUCCACGCCGUAAACGAUGUCGAUUUGGAGGUUGUGCCCUUGAGGCGUGGCUUCCGGAGCUAACGCGUUAAAUCGACCGCCUGGGGAGUACGGCCGCAAGGUUAAA